Molecule: ribosomal RNA, 492 nt
Filed under: uncultured bacterium
Lineage: Bacteria
Description: partial 16S ribosomal RNA
Rfam family: Bacterial small subunit ribosomal RNA
Source: RNAcentral
AGUGAACGCUGGCGGUAGGCCUAACACAUGCAAGUCGAACGGCAGCACAGUAAGAGCUUGCUCUUACGGGUGGCGAGUGGCGGACGGGUGAGGAAUACAUCGGAAUCUACUUUUUCGUGGGGGAUAACGUAGGGAAACUUACGCUAAUACCGCAUACGACCUACGGGAGAAAGCAGGGGAUCUUCGGACCUUGCGCGAUUGAAUGAGCCGAUGUCGGAUUAGCUAGUUGGCGGGGUAAAGGCCCACCAAGGCGACGAUCCGUAGCUGGUCUGAGAGGAUGAUCAGCCACACUGGAACUGAGACACGGUCCAGACUCCUACGGGAGGCAGCAGUGGGGAAUAUUGGACAAUGGGCGCAAGCCUGAUCCAGCCAUACCGCGUGGGUGAAGAAAGCCUUCGGGUUGUAAAGCCCUUUUGUUGGGAAAGAAAAGCAGCAGGUUAAUACCCCGCUGUUCUGACGGUACCCAAAGAAUAAGCACCGGCUAACUUCGUG